This 120-nucleotide ribosomal RNA is filed under the name uncultured bacterium. RNAcentral's name for it is "partial 16S ribosomal RNA". It matches the Rfam family "Bacterial small subunit ribosomal RNA", at positions 796 to 918 of the family's 1533-position model. The record is from RNAcentral.
CACGCCCUAAACGAUGGAUACUCGACAUACGCGAUACACUGUGUGUGUCUGAGCGAAAGCAUUAAGUAUCCCACCUGGGAAGUACGAUCGCAAGAUUGAAACUCAAAGGAAUUGACGGGG